Carassius gibelio (silver crucian carp) is the source of this 1499-nucleotide long non-coding RNA. RefSeq lists it as uncharacterized. The record is from RefSeq and is a predicted model, not a curated record. Lineage: Eukaryota; Metazoa; Chordata; Actinopteri; Cypriniformes; Cyprinidae. The transcript is spliced from 2 exons.
CCGCUCUACACACACACACACACACACACACACACACACACACACACACACACACACACACACACACACACACACACACACACACACACACACACACACACACACACACACACACACACACACACACAUAUAUAUAUAUAUGCUUAAGUUUUAGAAUCCACCUUUCGAUAGUGUUAAAUAAAGACACUUUAACUAUAAUAAUGACUCUAAUUACUCUAAUAAGUAGCUUGGUCUGAUAAUAAAUCAUUAAGACCUACCAAAGCAACCUACAUACAAUAGCAUAAACAAAACAGCAUAUUUUACUAAAACGGAUGUUAAUACACAAUAUGUAAGUACUGGCAGUUAUGAUCUUACCUAAUAUAUUUUAAUAUGAUAAACUGAUUAUUUCCUCCUAAAUGUAAAUGCAGCAUGUGUGAAGUCCUAUCAGGAAGCAGAAUUCACCUUUGUUUGUUUGUUUUUUCACUUUUGUCUCUCGACAGAGAGUAGAGAGAAAGAUGGUUGGGAUCACUGGAUGAGUCACAGCCAGAUUUGAACUUGCUUUAACCACUAUGCCAUGGCUCCAGCGACAGUUGUUUAGGCAGAGACGAAUGUGUGGCUCUUUCUUUAAUGAGACUACACUCUCAUUGCAGCAGAAACACCUGAGCACUCUGCCAUCAGAGGUCUUCUUGAGUUCAGCGUGCGGGCGGAAGGGGGAGGGCGAGCAGCAGUGGCCUGUACCUUCCCAAGCUGGGCUGACUGACCAUGGCAGAUUGCAAGCUGCGAUGUGAGUAAUGCGCUUUACACUGUUUUAACAGCUGACUACCCCAGAGGCCUGAGGUGAGAGGCACAUGUGAUGGGCAGAGAGCAAAGUCUGCGCAGAGGACAGGCUGGCAUGUGCCAGGGUACAGUGACAGCUCCCUUACUGGGGCACAGACUAGAGCAGUAUGGCACGGAAAGGAUGCCACGCUCUGGAUAACACACCGCGAGUGGCUCCACACUGAAUGUCGGACUCCGCAACGAUACACAAUUCACAAAGCAUCAACAAGAGCAAACAGUUGAGAAGACGAUGUCAAGCAAUCUGCAUUUCAAAGAUGGAAACUCACUUUCACUGAUCUCACUGCAAGGAAUAGCACAGUUACAAUGUGCACUAUGUUUAGUUCAGCUGUAGAUAUGCUAGACAUCAGAGUCAUGUGCAAAGAAGCUCUGAUAUUUGAAACCGCUCAUACUGGUCUCAAGACAGCCAGGGUUCCCACCAUCUUUUGACCAAUGAAUGUCCAGUUAUUUGUGCUGACUACUUCAUUUGUUAGUGAACUUUGUCAGGCAUGAUUCACAAAUAGCAAUUUAAAGUCAAUUAAAUAUUUCACAGCUAAAACAAUAAGACUAACAAUUUUAAACCUUGCAAAUUUGCCAUUUCCAGGUUUUCCAUUGCCAUAUAAACCUUGAUUGCAAAUGUAAAUGUAGGUCCUGAACUUGCUUUUUUUUUGUGUGUUUGUAAUGAAUAAAAAAAUAAAUGCGCCAUA